RNAcentral lists this unclassified non-coding RNA (190 nucleotides) under uncultured fungus. RNAcentral describes it as "sequence contains ITS1, 5.8S rRNA gene". Lineage: Eukaryota; Fungi. The record is from RNAcentral.
AUGUAUAACACAAGGCAUGAAGGCUGUCGCUGAUGAAAGUCGUGCACGCCCAAGUGUCCUUACAUCCAUCUCACCCUUGUGCAUCAUCGCGUGGGUCGCCUCUAACAAGAGGUGGCUUGCGUUUUUACACAAACACCUUCAAUGUAUAGUAUGUUUUAACUUGCGAUGUUAAACGCGCAAAAUAAAUGUA